CCUCGAAAUGGCAAACCCGGCGAAAGCCGGGGACGCGAAGCCACGGUCCCUCACUCUACUUGAGAGACGGGAAGCCGAGCUACCGAAA
Molecule: non-coding RNA, 88 nt
Filed under: unclassified sequences
Description: c-di-GMP sequence
Rfam family: c-di-GMP-I-GGC riboswitch aptamer
Source: Rfam by way of RNAcentral